UAGGGAAUCUUCCACAAUGGACGCAAGUCUGAUGGAGCAACGCCGCGUGAGUGAAGAAGGCUUUCGGGUCGUAAAACUCUGUUAUUGAAGAAGAACGUGUGUGACAGUAACUGGUCAUGCAGUGACGGUAUUCAAUCAGAAAGUCACGGCUAACUACGUGCCAGCAGCCGCGGUAAUACGUAGGUGGCAAGCGUUGUCCGGAUUUAUUGGGCGUAAAGCGAGUGCAGGCGGUCUUUUAAGUCUGAUGUGAAAGCCUUCGGCUUAACCGAAGAAGGGCAUCGGAAACUGGGAGACUUGAGUGCAGAAGAGGAGAGUGGAACUCCAUGUGUAGCGGUGAAAUGCGUAGAUAUAUGGAAGAACACCAGUGGCGAAGGCGGCUCUCUGGUCUGUAACUGACGCUGAGGCACGAAAGCGUGGGUAGCAAACAGGAUUAGAUACCCUGGUAGUCCACGCCGUAAACGAUG
Molecule: ribosomal RNA, 464 nt
Filed under: uncultured bacterium
Lineage: Bacteria
Description: partial 16S ribosomal RNA
Rfam family: Bacterial small subunit ribosomal RNA
Source: RNAcentral